UGGGGAAUUUUGGACAAUGGGCGAAAGCCUGAUCCAGCAAUGCCGCGUGUGUGAAGAAGGCCUUCGGGUUGUAAAGCACUUUUGUCCGGAAAGAAAUCCUUGGCUCUAAUACAGUCGGGGGAUGACGGUACCGGAAGAAUAAGCACCGGCUAACUACGUGCCAGCAGCCGCGGUAAUACGUAGGGUGCAAGCGUUAAUCGGAAUUACUGGGCGUAAAGCGUGCGCAGGCGGUUUGCUAAGAUCGAUGUGAAAUCCCCGGGCUCAACCUGGGAACUGCAUUGGUGACUGGCAGGCUAGAGUAUGGCAGAGGGGGGUAGAAUUCCACGUGUAGCAGUGAAAUGCGUAGAGAUGUGGAGGAAUACCGAUGGCGAAGGCAGCCCCCUGGGCCAAUACUGACGCUCACGCACGAAAGCGUGGGAGCAAACAGGAUUAGAUACCCUGGUAGUCCACGCCCUAAACGAUGUCAACUAGUUGUUGGGGAUUCAUUUCCUUAGUAACGUAGCUAACGCGUGAAGUUGACCGCCUGGGGAGUACGGUCGCAAGAUUAAAACUCAAAGGAAUUGACGGGGUCAUAGCUGUUUCCU
RNAcentral lists this ribosomal RNA (584 nucleotides) under uncultured bacterium. RNAcentral describes it as "partial 16S ribosomal RNA". It matches the Rfam family "Bacterial small subunit ribosomal RNA", at positions 355 to 1375 of the family's 1533-position model. The record is from RNAcentral.